ACAGGGAAAGUGAAAACCUUCUUCGGUUCUUCCCCGUCGCCAAGCUUCACCUUAUCAAAUUCCACUGCAAUGUAAAAAUGGUGAACCAUUUCUGGGAAUUAUAACAUGAAACAUACAGACCCAGAUGGCGAAAGAGACUAUAUACUAACAAAGCAAGCCCAUAUGUGCUUGAUAUGUGCACAACUGGUCAUAUUCACCAGUGAUUGGGUUCAACGGAGCUGAAGGAGUGAAGGUUUUCAAAAUGUGUUCGAAUUAGUGGUGGAGACCACAAGGUUACAUUUUCGGGCAAUUUCCAGAUUACAAUCGGAAAAUUUUAUCCCCAUUGUGCUUGACAAAUCUGUAUGCACACCAAAUGUAUGUGAAAAUGCCGCACCCAUUUCAGCUAUGAAUACAAAACCACGUUUUGGGAGGGAAAUUUGGAUGAAUCAGUGGACGACAUUGUGGACUUUGAAAAUUUGGAGGGAUGACUUCUUUAUAUCUAUAAUGGAGAACUGCCAACUUGGCAAAAGUUGUGGGUCAACAUUGCUCAAAGAUGGCAUAAUGAAUUUCUAGCAGACCUUGUAGCAUUGGAGGACUGACCAAAACCGAACAGGUUUCUCGGCACGUUGAAUGUCAGUUGGGCUUGAUUGCCGCAGAUCUUCGAUCAGAUUGUGUAAAGCUUCAUUUGUUUUUGCCAAUGGAUUGCACAAAGGUUCAGGCCGGGCAUUAUCCUCUUCGGCAAUAAGAAGUGAAAUUGAUUCCUAGCAGUCAAAACACCUCCAUGAACAAGUGCUGCACUCUCGCUACUCCAAAGAUAUGGAGCUGGAUCAUUAACUGAACUGCAUUGUGUUGGCAAUGGAGGUCCGCAAAGUCCUGAGUUUCCUUCAAAUGAGGUUGGGUCAUUGAAGGUGAGGAAUUGGUUGGCUGAUGGGAUUGGCCCAGAGAAGUUGUUGAAUG
Long non-coding RNA from Rosa chinensis, 936 nucleotides. RefSeq lists it as uncharacterized. The record is from RefSeq and is a predicted model, not a curated record. NCBI's taxonomy places the organism in Eukaryota, Viridiplantae, Streptophyta, Magnoliopsida, Rosales, Rosaceae. The transcript has 4 exons.